This 265-nucleotide long non-coding RNA is filed under the name Homo sapiens (human). Its description in RNAcentral is "non-protein coding lnc-ANKRD45-3:2". Lineage: Eukaryota; Metazoa; Chordata; Mammalia; Primates; Hominidae. The record is from RNAcentral.
AAGGGGUUCCGGUGCGGCUCCGGAAGUAGUCGUGCCCUUUGCUGGGGCAUUCAGAUUUUCCCAUAGCACACAGCCACCUGAUUUUUACCGUAUAUUAAUAUUUAGAAAACAAGUGAUACAAGUGUAAGGUGGGGAUUACAAUUUCAGGAAUAUCAGAGAAAGACUGUUGCUGAUUUCCUGGUAAGUAUACUAGGCUAAGUAUUAACCAGAUUUUCUUUAGCUGUUCUUUAUGUAGAAUCUACACAGGUGUGUCCAGUUGUUUCUG